This is a long non-coding RNA of Zea mays, 789 nucleotides long. RefSeq lists it as uncharacterized. NCBI's taxonomy places the organism in Eukaryota, Viridiplantae, Streptophyta, Magnoliopsida, Poales, Poaceae. The record is from RefSeq and is a predicted model, not a curated record. The transcript has 6 exons.
UACUGAGUGAUUUGCCUUGUAUUCAUGUAUUGUCUCCUAGGGUGUUCAGAAGCACGAAGAGGUCAGUAAAGUCAAGGAUGACAGUGUUCUCAGGUUUUUUUUCAUGGAUCUUUAACCAUCUAAAGAAGAGGUAGGCCUUGACAUCCGGCAUCGUCCCCUCCAGAUCUCAUUUGCCCGCCCCAGUCAAUCAAGAGGCAUCGAGUUCUGUUUGAUGAGGAGGGGAAGAUAGUGGUAAGGAGGAUAGACAACUCGAUGAGUAGGCAGGUGACUUUUUCCAAGAGGCGGAACAGACUGCUGAAGAAGAUGAAGGAGCUCUCUAUCCUCUGUGAUGCGAAGAUUGGCCUCAUCGUCUCCAACACCAGCAUGCUCUACGAGUUCUCCAACACCAAGGAUUCGAUGAGUACAUGAACUUGGUCCUCGAUGAUGCUGAGGAAAUCAACGUCAAGAAAAACACUAGGAAGACACUGGGCCGAAUACUCCUCAAAGGUGACAACAUAACUUUGAUGAUGAACAGUGGCAAGUGAAGGUUCUUAUGGCAGGAACGAUGUUUGGUGCUCGCGUUGAGUAUUUCUGGCACGUUGUACUCCAUCCAUUCAGACUUACAUGUAUCAUGUCAUUGUGGAUUAGUGAGGGAGUUGUACCUGCUGUUAUGUUGUGGCGAUGAGCUGGUCACUUGUGUGUGCCAUAUUGGCAUCUUAUGUUCAGCUUGACCUAAAGUUUUGCUCUGCCCUCUACUCUCCGCGCUAACUUGGCGGGAUCAGAUCAACAUGAGAUGUGCUGAAUUAUCAA